AUGGUUGCAGCAGCCGGAGGCACCGGUCGCCCAGUCAUCGCCGGCCCUAGGAUGUUCUAUGGUUUGGCUGACCAGAAGUGGGAGAUAAGGUUUCAUUUAGAAGGAAGAAACCCUGUGAAAAAGGGUAUAUAUGAGACAGACAUUUCUUUUCUUACUCUACAAUCACUCAUUGCUAGUGAAGGUUAUGGGGAGAGUGAUUACAUGUACUAUGUGAAGGAGGAGGAAAUUGGAUCUGAAAGAGUAAAGUAUUUAGGUAAUUAA
RNAcentral lists this ribosomal RNA (261 nucleotides) under Triticum aestivum (bread wheat). RNAcentral's name for it is "partial small subunit ribosomal RNA". Lineage: Eukaryota; Viridiplantae; Streptophyta; Magnoliopsida; Poales; Poaceae. The record is from RNAcentral.